This is a long non-coding RNA of Oncorhynchus kisutch (coho salmon), 526 nucleotides long. RefSeq lists it as uncharacterized. The transcript is spliced from 3 exons. The record is from RefSeq and is a predicted model, not a curated record. Lineage: Eukaryota; Metazoa; Chordata; Actinopteri; Salmoniformes; Salmonidae.
GCGGGAAUUAAUGUUGAUCUCGAGGAUUGACAGAACAUUUUGGUGACUCUGUUGUUGCAGUGGUCAAGAUAAUUAGCCUACUUGGUGGACAGAGCAAUCGGGAACAUGAAAACGGCUUAUUUAUUCGUUUUUGAAUAGAAAUCGAAGAAAAAAAAAGACUUGUUUUUUCUGUUUUUGCAUAUUAAACCAAAACACAGCUUUAUAUUUCAAUGAUCAAAUGUGGGUGGGGUUAAAUGAGGAAUGCCUGGUCAAGUGCACAGCCAACUAUUCCUGUCCUUUCAGAGCAGGAGGUCACCAUUACAACUUCAUCCUAUAAAUCCAAGUCAUUCAUUGAUUAAUACAUAGCUGCCCAUAAUAUUCCACAGUGCCAAGAUAAGUCCACUCCUUGCCGGUGACAAGCAUCCUCAUAACAUGACGCAGCCUCCACCAUGCUUGAAAAUAUGAAAAGUGGUACUCAGUGAUGUGGUGUGUUGGAUUUUCCCCAAACAUAACGGUGCCCUUCUUUGUGAAGCAUUGGAAAACCUCC